AUAUGUAUGUGUGCAUCUGCAUGUGUGCAUAUGCACACGAAUGCAGGUACUCAUAGAAGCCAGAAGAA
Molecule: microRNA precursor, 68 nt
Filed under: Nannospalax galili (Upper Galilee mountains blind mole rat)
Lineage: Eukaryota; Metazoa; Chordata; Mammalia; Rodentia; Spalacidae
Description: miRNA (ENSNGAG00000007631.1)
Source: RNAcentral